Molecule: long non-coding RNA, 270 nt
Organism: Choloepus didactylus (southern two-toed sloth)
Lineage: Eukaryota; Metazoa; Chordata; Mammalia; Pilosa; Megalonychidae
Exons: 3
Source: RefSeq, a predicted model, not a curated record
CUUCAUACAACACUCAUGAAAACGUGGAACUGCUGAGAUCAGCGAAAUCUGUGACUGCAUACCUUACUUAGAUACCUCAUCUGUUAUCCUGGGACCAGGAGCAUCUGAUGCAGAAGAAAGUAUAAUAACAGGCAUAAAUAUUAUAGGUUAAGAAGAGAAGAAAUAAUCCCUGCCUCUUUAUCAUCUUCUAAGAAUAUCAUAAGUUCUUAGUAAAAUAUUUACAAACUCUUUCAAUGGCCUUGAAGACAAGAUAAUAGAGAAUUAUCCUAU